RNAcentral lists this ribosomal RNA (711 nucleotides) under Triticum aestivum (bread wheat). RNAcentral describes it as "partial small subunit ribosomal RNA". Lineage: Eukaryota; Viridiplantae; Streptophyta; Magnoliopsida; Poales; Poaceae. The record is from RNAcentral.
GCCCACCUAUUCCGAGGUGGGUGCGGCGACUCCCCUAUUCAGAGGGGGAGUCGGAGCAGGAGUAGUUCGGGGCUAUAAAGCGUUGAGAGAGCGGAGGAGUGAACAGGAGAGACAACUCCCCCUCUUCGUCGGCUCGGGGGACAGCGGCGGGCGGCAGCGGGUGGCGCCACUGGCGGAGGGUGCACGAGGAGACUAACCAAGUUGUGGAGGCGGCAGAAGGCGACGAUGGAGAUACAGCUGCGCGCGCUCGACCCUCCGCGACGUCGGGGCCUAGGGGCACCAGAAGGUGGAGCCCGUUACGGCGGGAGCGGUAGCUUAAGGCCGUAGAGGCUCGGAGGGGGCUCGGGUGAAGCGCGUAGACGUCCUCGCUAUGGGGCUCUGUCGACGACUACGUCGACACUAGCUGAUACAGCUGGGAAGAAGGGAAAGUCGCCUCGAAGGUCUACCACCUAGGGACCUCAGUCUACGGUAGCGGCUGCCUACGAUGAUGCACCUCUGGCGGCUGCUGGUCCUCAUCAAUCCUCCAGGGUCCGUCCUCCGGAACGGAGAAGCUAGCAACGUAGCAAACACGAUCGGAAGAAUUCCGUCUUGAACAAAUUGAAUACAGACAUGAGUCUAUAACAACGAGGGCGACUGAGCGAAUACAUAGCUCGAUGCAUAAGCUCGGGAGCUCCGGGGACCGAACAUUAUACUUCGAACAUACUGAAAGUA